Bombyx mori (domestic silkworm) is the source of this 123-nucleotide non-coding RNA. Lineage: Eukaryota; Metazoa; Arthropoda; Insecta; Lepidoptera; Bombycidae. The record is from RefSeq and is marked provisional.
AGAUGACGUAGGUGUUCUAUUUUUCUACGGGAACUUCUCUACUAUGACCGGGUUCUGACGGAGAUUGAACGUCGGGUGAGAGGGUCGGGGAGUCGUUUGGUGCGGUAGGGCCCUAAAAAUAUC